RNAcentral lists this ribosomal RNA (253 nucleotides) under uncultured bacterium. RNAcentral's name for it is "partial 16S ribosomal RNA". It matches the Rfam family "Bacterial small subunit ribosomal RNA", at positions 524 to 776 of the family's 1533-position model. The record is from RNAcentral.
UACGUAGGGGGCAAGCGUUGUCCGGAAUCAUUGGGCGUAAAGCGCGCGUAGGCGGCCCGAUAAGUCUGCUGUAAAAGUCAACGGCUCAACCGUUGAAAGCCGGUGGAUACUGUCGGGCUAGAGUUCGGAAGAGGCAAGUGGAAUUCCUGGUGUAGCGGUGGAAUGCGCAGAUAUCAGGAGGAACACCUAUAGCGAAGGCAGCUUGCUGGGACGAAACUGACGCUAAGGCGCGAAAGCGUGGGGAGCGAACAGG